This is a long non-coding RNA of Homo sapiens (human), 2017 nucleotides long. Lineage: Eukaryota; Metazoa; Chordata; Mammalia; Primates; Hominidae. The record is from Ensembl.
GCCACAGUUGAUUCCGGGGAUGCAAACUGGAAUCUUUUUGCAGCAUGUGAGCCCGGCAGGAGAGGUAAGGCCCUGAAAAUACUGUGGCCCAGAAUUUGCCCACUCCUCCUACGGAAGCAUUUUGUUGAAAACCUAGGAAUGGACUCGGAAAUGGACAGCUCACCGCCAGUCCCUUCCGCGCAAGGUAAAACUAAAAACCCUGGACAUAAUAUGUAAGGCAAACACAGGAAGACUCUGAAAGGUGGAGAGAAGAUUGCUUGCUAGGAACAUCAAAACCCAAAGAACAACAUGGUCAUGUGUUGCUUGGAAUUCAUUUUUGCCUAAUAUAUCUGAGACCUGCAGCUGAAGAAGCCAGAAACAUGAAAACACCAACAUGCAUGGGCAAAAUAGCCUGAACGAAAGCUUGUUCUCUCUAGCUGAAGGCCAGGAAAACGGUGGCCUAGUCAGACAGAAAAUUUUUAGACAAGAAGUGCUCUAUUCCAGCCUAACCCCAAGGAAAAAGCUGUUGCUCCACUCCCAUCCAUGCCAAUGAAGGCCACGUGGGGAGCCUACACUUCCACCCUCAUGAGACAGUAAUGAGAUGCUCCAACCCCCUCACCAGAGUGGUAUCAAAGAAAGCCAAGUAGGGAGUGAGGACAUUCAUCCAACUGGCCAAUAACAUGAUCUCCUCCUCCCUGCAGUGUGAGUAAAAACCACACAAGGAGCCAGAACUUCUACCCCCAUCAAGCAGUAAUGAGGCACCCUCCUCACCCCACUGAGGUAGUGUUAGAGGAGGCCUACUAAAGAAUCAAGACUUUCACCAUCACCCAGCAAUAAUGAGGCCACCCCCACCACCGUGUCAAUGGAGACCAUGUGGGGAGCCAGAAUUCCCACCCUCACCCAGCAGUAAUAAGGAGUCCCUCCCAUUCAAGUGUCAGCAAGGCCAAUUGGAGAACCUAGACUUCCAUUCCACCUGAUAUUAACAAGGUGGCACCUCCCUCCUUCCACUACUAGAGUGGUGUCAGAGAAGUGCAAUCAAAAGGGAAGGUUUAAAUAAGAUUUAGAGUCUCAUAACAUAAUAUGAAAAUGUCCAGAUUUCAAUGUCCAGAGAACAAACAUAAAAAUCACACGUCACACUAACAACCAGAAGGUCUCUACUGAGUGAAAAAAAGUAAUAGAUGCCAACAACAGAUGAUAGAGGUGCUAGAAUUACCUAACAAAGAUUUUAAAGCAGCCAUUAUAAACAUAUUUCAAUGAGUAAUUACAAACAGGCUUGAAAAAAUGAAAAAAAAAAGCUUUAGCAAAGAAAAAGAAUGUCUCAACAAAUAAAUGAAAGAUAUAAAGAACCAAACUGAAAUUUAGAACUGAGAGAUAAUAGUAACUGAAAUUUUAAAAGGCUCAGUGAAUAAGUUCAACAGCAGAAUGGAGGAAAUAGAGGAAAGAAAUGAUGAACAGAAAGAGCAAACAAUGCAAAUUACUCAAUCUGAACAACACAGAGGAAAAAAGACUUGAAAAAAGUGAACAUGCUUCAGGAACCUUUGGAAGUAUUUUUUAAAUGUAAUAUUUGUGCCAUUGAAGCCCUGGAAGGAGAGAAAAAUGAGGGCAGGGAUGAAAAAGUACUUAAAGAACUAAUGGCUGAAAACUUCCCACAUUUAGCAAGAAACACAAAACUACAAAUUCGUGAAGCUGACUGAACCCCAAACAAGAUAAUAAAAUAAUACACAGGAAGACAUACCAUAAUUAAAAUUAUGAAAACUAAAGACAAAGUGUUGAAAGCAGCCAUGACACCUUAUAUGUAGGGGAAAGCAAUUUGAAUAACAGUGAGUUUCUCCCUGGAAAAACCAUGGAGGCCAGAAAGAAGUAGCACAGUAUCUUUCAAGUGAAAAGAAUUGUCAACCCAGAACUUUACACCCAAUGAAAUUAUCCUUCAGGAAUUAAGGAGAAAGCAGUACAUUCUCAGAUAAAGGAAAAUUAUGAUAGUUUUUCAAAAGUAGACCUACCCUAAAAUAAUAGCUUUAAAAAAGCUCUCUAAACACAA